Octopus sinensis (East Asian common octopus) is the source of this 634-nucleotide RNA transcript. It is a transcript of the gene named EF-hand calcium-binding domain-containing protein 10-like, with no coding region annotated. The record is from RefSeq and is a predicted model, not a curated record. NCBI's taxonomy places the organism in Eukaryota, Metazoa, Mollusca, Cephalopoda, Octopoda, Octopodidae. The transcript has 3 exons.
CUUUUUGAGACAUUAUAUAGUGGAUUCCUCCUAGGUAACCAAGUGUAAUUUUACGGAGAUUGAGUUUAAUAUUCUCGUCGACGAAGCAAACGUGUGAAACGGGAGAUAAAUAUCGAUGUGCGUGCCAUCUCUAAUUACAGGAGAUAGAAAUAUCGAUGUGCAUCUUAGAACGACGAUCAAUGUUGGAUCUGUUGUCUUAAAACAAUUAAUUAAUUAACGUCGUGGAUCAUGUUGGGCAAAUUGGUUAGUUUUGCAGUUGGAUUUUAUGUGGGGGCCUAUGCUGACCAAUAUUAUUCUGUAAGUAUUCUGAUUUCUUUCUUUUUGCAUAUGGUUAUUUAGUAAAAUUUACCAAAACUUCCUGGGCCAAUGGGUUUAUAUGAAAGAAUCAAAGUAGAAUUAGACAAAUACAAGAAAGAUAAGCCUGGACCUGGUAAAAGUUAAUAGAUGUCAGCUUAUUUCAGCACAUUUUACAGAAACUGAUUAACAUGAAAAACUUACAGAAAAAAAUUGUGAUAUUAAUGAUAUCACAGGAGUUGGUUAAGUUUCUUUUUCCUUUUAAUAAAUUUGAUUUUGUGAUGUUUUCAUAACUGUGAUAUAUAAAAAUAGGAGUAAAUAAAAGGAUUGUUUAAUGAAA